GCGGGUGUAGUUCAAUGGUAGAACGUCAGCCUUCCAAGCUGAAUACGGGAGUCCGAUUCUCCUCACUCGCUCCA
This 74-nucleotide transfer RNA is filed under the name Oscillospiraceae bacterium. RNAcentral's name for it is "tRNA-Gly". It matches the Rfam family "tRNA". Rfam says of the family: Transfer RNA (tRNA) molecules are approximately 80 nucleotides in length. Their secondary structure includes four short double-helical elements and three loops (D, anti-codon, and T loops). Further hydrogen bonds mediate the characteristic L-shaped molecular structure. tRNAs have two regions of fundamental functional importance: the anti-codon, which is responsible for specific mRNA codon recognition, and the 3' end, to which the tRNAs corresponding amino acid is attached (by aminoacyl-tRNA synthetases). tRNAs cope with the degeneracy of the genetic code in two manners: having more than one tRNA (with a specific anti-codon) for a particular amino acid; and 'wobble' base-pairing, i.e. permitting non-standard base-pairing at the 3rd anti-codon position. Lineage: Bacteria; Bacillati; Bacillota; Clostridia; Eubacteriales; Oscillospiraceae. The record is from RNAcentral.